This 303-nucleotide ribosomal RNA is filed under the name uncultured bacterium. RNAcentral describes it as "bacterial SSU rRNA". It matches the Rfam family "Bacterial small subunit ribosomal RNA", at positions 355 to 655 of the family's 1533-position model. The record is from RNAcentral.
UGAGGAAUAUUGGUCAAUGGGCGCAAGCCUGAACCAGCCAAGUCGCGUGAGGGAAGACGGUCCUAUGGAUUGUAAACCUCUUUUGUCGGGGAGCAAAGCGCGGUACGAGUACCGCGAAGGAGAGUACCCGAAGAAAAAGCAUCGGCUAACUCCGUGCCAGCAGCCGCGGUAAUACGGAGGAUGCGAGCGUUAUCCGGAUUUAUUGGGUUUAAAGGGUGCGUAGGCGGAUUUGUAAGUCAGCGGUAAAAAUGCGGUGCUCAACGCCGUAUCGCCGUUGAAACUGCAGGUCUUGAGUGAGCGAGA